GGUUAGCUCAGGUGGUUUAAGAGCGCAGGGCUGAGAACGCCAAGGUCAUGGGUUCGAUCCCCUGUAUGGACCU
Podarcis lilfordi (Lilford's wall lizard) is the source of this 73-nucleotide non-coding RNA. The record is from the annotation of a GenBank genome assembly. NCBI's taxonomy places the organism in Eukaryota, Metazoa, Chordata, Lepidosauria, Squamata, Lacertidae.